RNAcentral lists this transfer RNA (72 nucleotides) under Listeria monocytogenes. RNAcentral's name for it is "tRNA-Asn". It matches the Rfam family "tRNA". Rfam says of the family: Transfer RNA (tRNA) molecules are approximately 80 nucleotides in length. Their secondary structure includes four short double-helical elements and three loops (D, anti-codon, and T loops). Further hydrogen bonds mediate the characteristic L-shaped molecular structure. tRNAs have two regions of fundamental functional importance: the anti-codon, which is responsible for specific mRNA codon recognition, and the 3' end, to which the tRNAs corresponding amino acid is attached (by aminoacyl-tRNA synthetases). tRNAs cope with the degeneracy of the genetic code in two manners: having more than one tRNA (with a specific anti-codon) for a particular amino acid; and 'wobble' base-pairing, i.e. permitting non-standard base-pairing at the 3rd anti-codon position. The record is from RNAcentral. Lineage: Bacteria; Bacillati; Bacillota; Bacilli; Caryophanales; Listeriaceae.
CCACCGUAGCUCAGUUGGUAGAGCCAUCGGCUGUUAACCGAGCGGGCGCAGGUUCGAGUCCUGCCUGUGGAG